CCAGUUGACCGGGUGGCCGCUGGCAUGCGGGUAACUGCAUGCCGGAGGAAAGUCCGGGCUCCAUCGAAACACGGUGACGGCCAACAGCCGCCGGGGGCGACCCCAGGGAAAGUGCCACAGAAAGCAAACCGCCCCGGUCCGCCGGGGCAAGGGUGAAAGGGUGCGGUAAGAGCGCACCGGGUGCCUGGCGACAGGGACCGCACGGUAAACCCCACCGGGAGCAAGACCAAAUAGGGACGACGCGGGGCUUCAUGCCCCAGCCUGUUUCGAGGCCAUGUCGUCCGGGUUGGUUGCACGAGCGCGCCGGUAACGGCCGCCUCAGAUGAAUGGUCACCACGUCGCGGCAACGCGGCCCUACAGAACCCGGCUUACAGGUCAACUGGCGCU
RNAcentral lists this RNase P RNA (387 nucleotides) under Pelagibacterium sp. SCN 64-44. RNAcentral's name for it is "RNase P RNA component class A". It matches the Rfam family "Bacterial RNase P class A". Rfam says of the family: Ribonuclease P (RNase P) is a ubiquitous endoribonuclease, found in archaea, bacteria and eukarya as well as chloroplasts and mitochondria. Lineage: Bacteria; Pseudomonadati; Pseudomonadota; Alphaproteobacteria; Hyphomicrobiales; Devosiaceae. The record is from RNAcentral.